This 481-nucleotide ribosomal RNA is filed under the name uncultured bacterium. RNAcentral's name for it is "bacterial SSU rRNA". It matches the Rfam family "Bacterial small subunit ribosomal RNA", at positions 17 to 507 of the family's 1533-position model. The record is from RNAcentral.
UCCUGGCUCAGAUUGAACGCUGGCGGCAGGCUUAACACAUGCAAGUCGAGCGGAGACUUCGGUCUUAGCGGCGAACGGGUGAGUAAUACCUAGGAAUCUGCCUAUUAUGGGGGAUAACGAAUCGAAAGGUUCGCUAAUACCGCAUACGUCCUACGGGANAAAGGGGGGGAUCUUCGGACCUCUCGCUAAUAGAUGAGCCUAGGCCGGAUUAGCUAGUUGGUAGGGUAAAGGCCUACCAAGGCGACGAUCUGUAGCUGGUCUGAGAGGAUGGCCAGCCACACUGGAACUGAGACACGGUCCAGACUCCUACGGGAGGCAGCAGUGGGGAAUAUUGGACAAUGGGGGCAACCCUGAUCCAGCCAUGCCGCGUGUGUGAAGAAGGCCUUCGGGUUGUAAAGCACUUUAAGCGAGGAGGAAGGUUUUAGUUUAAUACACUAAAGAAUUGACGUUACUCGCAGAAUAAGCACCGGCUAACUCUGUG